GAAAAAAAAUUAGGCAAGCUCUGGCCUUUCUCCCUAGAUCGUGUAUUUUGGUGAGAUGGUUAGUUUAUAGUGGAUACUCAUGAAUGGAUCACAAGAGAAGACAAUGAAUCAUCCAUUUUUAGCUAAUCUACGCAUCACAAUUCACAAACUCAAUCUCCCUGCUAACAUAUUGGUGCAGAAUCUGGUUAUGGUGAUGUUUAAGUAGGUUACGGUGAUGAGUUAGUUAAGGAAAAAGAAGAUUCCAAGCUAUUGUUCUUGAGAGGUGGAUGUUGAUGGAAGAAGUUUCAUUUCAUAUGAGUAGAUCUUGAUACCUUCUUUGUCGGAGCUGCACCAAAUCGGAUCUAUCUUAAUUCAGGAUGAAGUCAUAUGUCAGAUGUGGUCCGCUGCAAAAUCUGGAAAAGAGAAUGUUUUUUGAUGAUGGAGAUGAAUGAGAAACGAAAAAGAGACAGAACUUACAAUUUUUAUAUUGUGGA
This is a long non-coding RNA of Camelina sativa (false flax), 473 nucleotides long. RefSeq lists it as uncharacterized. NCBI's taxonomy places the organism in Eukaryota, Viridiplantae, Streptophyta, Magnoliopsida, Brassicales, Brassicaceae. The record is from RefSeq and is a predicted model, not a curated record.